AGGGUUUGAUCCUGGCUCAGGACGAACGCUGGCGGCAUGCCUAACACAUGCAAGUCGAACGAGAAAGUUCCUUCGGGAGCGAUUAAAGUGGCGCACGGGUGAGUAACGCGUAGACAAUCUGCCCUUCAGUCUGGGACAACUUUUCGAAAGGAGAGCUAAUACCGGAUGACAAUGUAACACAUAAGUGUCACAUUUGAAAGCUCCGGCGCUGAAGGAGGGGUCUGCGUCCCAUUAGCCAGUUGGUAAGGUAAAGGCUUACCAAGGCGACGAUGGGUAGCGGGUUUGAGAGGACGAUCCGCCACACUGGAACUGAGACACGGUCCAGACUCCUACGGGAGGCAGCAGUGGGGAAUAUUGCACAAUGGAGGCAACUCUGAUGCAGCAAUGUCGCGUGAGUGAAGAAGGCCCUUGGGUCGUAAAGCUCUUUUAUGGGGGAAGAUGAUGACGGUACCCCAAGAAUAAGCACCGGCUAACUACGUGCCAGCAGCCGCGGUAAUAC
RNAcentral lists this ribosomal RNA (499 nucleotides) under uncultured bacterium. RNAcentral describes it as "bacterial SSU rRNA". It matches the Rfam family "Bacterial small subunit ribosomal RNA", at positions 8 to 526 of the family's 1533-position model. The record is from RNAcentral.